UGCCAGCUUUGGGAGUUGGAGAUAGAGGUUUAAGUCCUUUUUUUC
RNAcentral lists this transfer RNA (45 nucleotides) under Thalassarche chrysostoma (Grey-headed albatross). RNAcentral describes it as "partial tRNA-Pro". The record is from RNAcentral. Lineage: Eukaryota; Metazoa; Chordata; Aves; Procellariiformes; Diomedeidae.